This 433-nucleotide ribosomal RNA is filed under the name uncultured bacterium. RNAcentral's name for it is "partial 16S ribosomal RNA". It matches the Rfam family "Bacterial small subunit ribosomal RNA", at positions 29 to 507 of the family's 1533-position model. The record is from RNAcentral.
AACGAACGCUGGCGGCAUGCCUAACACAUGCAAGUCGAACGAGACCUUCGGGUCUAUUGGCGCACGGGUGCGUAACGCGUGGGAACCUUCCCUUAGGUUCGGAAUAACUCCCCGAAAGGGGUGCUAAUACCGGAUAAUGUCUUCGGACCAAAGCUUUAUCGCCGUUGGAUGGGCCCGCGUUGGAUUAGCUAGUUGGUAGGGUAAAAGCCUACCAAGGCGACGAUCCAUAGCUGGUCUGAGAGGAUGACCAGCCACACUGGGACUGAGACACGGCCCAGACUCCUACGGGAGGCAGCAGUGGGGAAUACUGGAGAAUGGGCGCAAGCCUGAUCAAGCAAUGCCGCGUGAGUGAUGAAGGCCUUAGGGUUGUAAAGCUCUUUUACCCGGGAUGAUAAUGACAGUACCGGGAGAAUAAGCUCCGGCUAACUACGUG